GGAUUGAUAUUCCGCUAUGGACGCGGGGCUGUCUGUAAAACAGUUGCUUAGGCUGGCCAGGUUCGAUUCCUGGGCGAUCCACCA
This 84-nucleotide transfer RNA is filed under the name Undibacterium hunanense. Its description in RNAcentral is "Undibacterium sp. CY18W tRNA-Tyr". It matches the Rfam family "tRNA". From Rfam's summary of the family: Transfer RNA (tRNA) molecules are approximately 80 nucleotides in length. Their secondary structure includes four short double-helical elements and three loops (D, anti-codon, and T loops). The record is from RNAcentral. RNAcentral also lists the same sequence under 2 other names. Lineage: Bacteria; Pseudomonadati; Pseudomonadota; Betaproteobacteria; Burkholderiales; Oxalobacteraceae.